CCUACGGGCGGCAGCAGUGGGGAAUAUUGCACAAUGGGGGAAACCCUGAUGCAGCAACGCCGCGUGAAGGAAGACGGUUUUCGGAUUGUAAAGUUCUGUUAUUAGUGAAGAAAAAUGACGGGAGAUAAGGAGCAAGCCACGGCUAACUACGUGCCAGCAGCCGCGGUAAUCCGUAGGUGGCAAGCGUUCUCCGGAAUUACUGGGUGUAAAGGGAGCGCAGGCGGGAAGACAAGUCAGCUGUGAAAACUACGGGCUUAACCUGUAGACUGCAGUUGAAACUGGGUUUCUUGAGUACAGUAGAGGUAAGCGGAAUUCCGAGUGUAGCGGUGAAAUGCGUAGAUAUUCGGAGGAACACCGGUGGCGAAGGCGGCUUACUGGGCUUUAACUGACGCUGAGGCUCGAAAGUGUGGGGAGCAAACAGGAUUAGAUACCCCAGUAGUC
RNAcentral lists this ribosomal RNA (441 nucleotides) under uncultured bacterium. Its description in RNAcentral is "partial 16S ribosomal RNA". It matches the Rfam family "Bacterial small subunit ribosomal RNA", at positions 338 to 795 of the family's 1533-position model. The record is from RNAcentral.